UAAGGAAUCUUCCGCAAUGGACGCAAGUCUGACGGAGCGACGCCGCGUGCGCGACGAAGCCCUUCGGGGUGUAAAGCGCUUUUCCCAGGGACGACCAAGCGACGGUACCUGGGGAAGAAGCCUCGGCUAACUACGUGCCAGCAGCCGCGGUAAUACGUAGGAGGCGAGCGUUGUCCGGAAUCACUGGGCGUAAAGCGCGUGUAGGCGGUGGGAGUAGUCUGCUGUGAAAGCGCCUGGCUCAACCGGGCGAGGUCGGCGGAAACUCUCUCACUGGAGGCCGGUAGAGGGGGGUGGAAUUCCCGGUGUAGUGGUGAAAUGCGUAGAGAUCGGGAGGAACACCUGUGGCGAAGGCGGCCCCCUGGGCCGGGCCUGACGCUGAGACGCGAAGGCGUGGGGAGCGAACGGGAUUAGAUACCCCGGUAGUCC
RNAcentral lists this ribosomal RNA (426 nucleotides) under uncultured bacterium. RNAcentral's name for it is "bacterial SSU rRNA". It matches the Rfam family "Bacterial small subunit ribosomal RNA", at positions 355 to 796 of the family's 1533-position model. The record is from RNAcentral.